ACACGUAGGGGGCGAGCGUUGUUCGGAAUCAUUGGGCGUAAAGGGCGCGCAGGCGGCGAGGCAAGUCCGGUGUGAAAGUGCUCGGCUCAACCGAGUGAUGCGCUGGAAACUGCCCUGCUUGAGUACAGGAGGGGACGUCGGAAUUCCAGGUGUAGGGGUGAAAUCUGUAGAUAUCUGGAAGAACACCGGUGGCGAAGGCGGACGUCUGGCCAUGUACUGACGCUGAGGCGCGAAGGUGCGGGGAGCGAACAGGUUUAGAUACCCUGGUAGUCCGCACAGUAAACGAUGUGCACCAGGUGGCGGGGGGUAGCCCUCGGUACCGAAGCCAACGCAUUAAGUGCACCGCCUGGGGAGUAUGCUCGCAAGGGUGAAACUUAAAGGAAUUGACGGGG
This 392-nucleotide ribosomal RNA is filed under the name uncultured bacterium. RNAcentral describes it as "partial 16S ribosomal RNA". It matches the Rfam family "Bacterial small subunit ribosomal RNA", at positions 523 to 918 of the family's 1533-position model. The record is from RNAcentral.